Molecule: transfer RNA, 68 nt
Filed under: Matrona basilaris
Lineage: Eukaryota; Metazoa; Arthropoda; Insecta; Odonata; Calopterygidae
Description: tRNA-Gln
Source: RNAcentral
UACUUUUUAGUGUAAGAUGCACAGAAAUUUUUGAUAUUUCUAGAGCAGUUUAAUUCUGCGAUCAGUAA